CAGUCGCCACGGGAAUACGUAGGUGGCAAGCGUUGUCCGGAAUUAUUGGGCGUAAAGGGCUCGCAGGCGGUUUCUUAAGUCUGAUGUGAAAGCCCCCGGCUCAACCGGGGAGGGUCAUUGGAAACUGGGAAACUUGAGUGCAGAAGAGGAGAGUGGAAUUCCACGUGUAGCGGUGAAAUGCGUAGAGAUGUGGAGGAACACCUGUGGCGAAGGCGACUCUCUGGUCUGUAACUGACGCUGAGGAGCGAAAGCGUGGGGAGCGAACAGGAUUAGAUACCCCAGUAGUCCCUGUCUCUUAUAC
RNAcentral lists this ribosomal RNA (301 nucleotides) under uncultured bacterium. RNAcentral's name for it is "partial 16S ribosomal RNA". It matches the Rfam family "Bacterial small subunit ribosomal RNA", at positions 509 to 807 of the family's 1533-position model. The record is from RNAcentral.